Molecule: RNA transcript, 2657 nt
Organism: Setaria italica (foxtail millet)
Lineage: Eukaryota; Viridiplantae; Streptophyta; Magnoliopsida; Poales; Poaceae
Gene name: CBL-interacting serine/threonine-protein kinase 21
Exons: 13
Source: RefSeq, a predicted model, not a curated record
AGGCACGCGCGCAGCAUCAUUUAAGGUCAAGUGCGUCGCGCCGGCAGGCAGACAAGUGAGGCUGCAGGCGUCGAGAGCGACGGGGAGAUGGGGUUCGUCGAAUCCACGGGGAGCGUCGGCAAGUACAGGUUCGGCCGGGCCGUCGGCGAGGGCACCUUCGCCAAGGUCAGGCUCGCCGCCGACGUCGAGACCGGCGGAACCGUCGCCGUGAAGGUCAUCGACAGGGAGACGGUGCUCAGGAACAACCUCAUGCACCAAGUGAAAAUGGAGAUACGCGCCAUGAAACUCCUCAAUCACCCCAACAUAGUCAGGAUACACGAGGUCAUCGCAACGAAGACGAAGAUAUGCCUGGUCAUGGAGUACGUUUCCGGAGGGCAGCUCUCUGACAAGCUGAGUUGCCUCAAGCGAUUGGAUGAGAGGGAAGCGAACAAGUACUUCUACCAGUUGAUCGAUGCUGUCGACUAUUGCCACAGGAGAGGCGUCUACCACAGAGACCUCAAGCCAGAGAACUUGUUGCUAGAUACCCGGGGCAACCUCAAAGUAUCUGAUUUUGGACUCAGUGCGCUAACGAAGCCAGGGCAGUUGCUAUCCACAUCCUGCGGCUCGCCUUGCUAUAUAGCUCCUGAGGUGAUUCUGCACAAGAGUUACGAUGGCGCGGCAGCGGACGUCUGGUCUUGUGGCGUGAUCCUCUUUGAACUGCUUGCUGGUUAUCUGCCGUUUCAGGACCGCAGCCUGACAAGCUUGUACAGAAGGAUCUCCAGGGCGCAAUUCACUUUCCCGGGAUGGUUCACUCCCCUUCAGAAGAAGCUCAUUUUGAGGAUUCUGGAACCAUCUCCUAUAAGGAGAGCAAAGAUAAGCGAUAUUUUCGAUGAUAAGUGGUUCCAAGGGGACUACAAUCCAUCACGAACUGAUGAUGACAAUGAUGGUUCUUCUGAUCUUGAAGAGGUUAGCACAGACAGUGAAAGCAGUCACGCUUCAGAGGUAAGGGAAGCCGCAGAACUGAAUCCGGAACCUGGGCGGUUCAUCAACGCGUUCCAACUGAUCGCAACUUGCUGUGAUCUCGACUUGUCAGGUCUCUUCCAAGAGCAGAAAACAAAGUUUGGCUCGUCGCAUACAUUGCAGGAAACACUGGAGAAGAUCAGAGUUGCAGCUCAGGAUGUGAGCUUGUCAAUGUGGAGAUUGGACAGCUCCAUGGUAACUAAACCACAUAACAUUUUCCCUAUCUUCGUUCCUGAAAGCCCUUUCCAGAUAACACAGUUCAAGAUUUGAAGCAGCAGCUAAGAUUAAGGCCCUGUUUGGCACAGCUCCACUCCACAACUCCAGCAACUCCAGCAAAAAAAAUAGCCAAAUACUCCAACUCCAAAACUCCAUGGAGCUGCCAACUCCAUGGAGCUGUAGUGCAAAUGGGGGUGGAGUUUUGGAGCACCUCUUUUGCUGCUCCAAAACUCUCUCUUUUGAACCUCCUCGUGGAGUUGGUGGGUAAUUACCCACCAAUGCCACUCGUUACAGAAAAAACGGUUCGUUUUCUUUUCUCCGAGCCCCCAUGUCGCGCCUCCCUCCCGCCGCCGUUGCUACUCGCGUGGACGCGCGCCUCCCUCAGCCAGCGCCGCCAGUCGCCUCGCCCUACCUCUCGCUUGUCGGGCGCGCCUGCUCCCCCGCCGGGCGCCCGCGCCGUGGCCCCGUCGGGCGCACCUCCACCGGCGGGCGGCCACGCCUCCCUCCACCGCCGGAGCAGGACGCCGGCCCCUCCCUCACAUCCGGCGGGCGGCCGCGCCACGGCCCCGUCGGGCACGCCUCCGUCGGCGGGCGGCCGUGCCGCCCUCAAGCCGCCGGCCGGCCGCUGCCUCCCUCCACCGCCGGACCAAGCCGCCGGCCCCUCCCUCACAUCCAGCAGGCAGCCGCGCCGUCACCCCGUCAGGCGCGCCUCCAUCGGCGGGCGGAUGGCCGCCCUCACGCCUCCGGCCGGCCGCUGCCUCCCUCCACUGCCGGACCAGGCCGCCGACCCCUCCCUCACAUCCGGCAGGCAGCCGCGCCGUGGCCCCGUCGGGCGCGCCUCCACCGGCGGGCGGCCGCGCCUCCCUCACGCCGCCGUCCGUCCGCUGCCUCACUACACCGUGCAAGGGAAUCAGAGAAGGGGAUGGGGCGCUGAUCUGCUUGCUCUGCUCGAGCAAGGGAGGAGCAGAGAUCUGCUUGCUCUGCUCGAGCAAGGGAGGAGCAGAGGACCGGAAAUGUCUUGGCCUCCAUGGAUUUGUGCUGCUGGUGGUUGACGUGUGAGAGAUAGAGAUUAGAUAGGAAGGGGAGACUGAUUGGAGUAGCUGGUGCCCUGGUUGUUGGAUUCGAUGGCAGAUCAGGGAGAUCAAGUCUGCAGGUGAGCUGCUUGCUUGCUCCUGCGAGGCGACGGGAGCGCCGGGGCAAGGAAAAAAAGAGGAGGGAACGGUGUGUCGUGGUUGCCGAGCAGCCUUUCUGAGGAAGAAGGAGAUGGGGAUGGAGAGAAUGACAAGUGGGACCUAAAUUGGGGGGUGAAGCUUCAGGACAGCAGACUGCUUGAAAGGAGCAUACCUGAUCUGACUCUUCUGGCUGAGGUGAUCGAGGUGACUCCGGUACACUGCAUUGUCGAAGUGUCCAAGUCCACUGGGGAUCUGAGAGCAUAUAGAGAG